This 69-nucleotide transfer RNA is filed under the name Gammaproteobacteria bacterium. RNAcentral describes it as "tRNA-Val". It matches the Rfam family "tRNA", at positions 2 to 61 of the family's 71-position model. Rfam says of the family: Transfer RNA (tRNA) molecules are approximately 80 nucleotides in length. The record is from RNAcentral. Lineage: Bacteria; Pseudomonadati; Pseudomonadota; Gammaproteobacteria.
GGCGCAUAGCUCAGUUGGUUAGAGCACCACCCUGACAUGGUGGGGGUCGGUGGUUCGACAAAAUUGCCG